GAUCUUGCAUCGAUAAAAAACAUAACAAAAUGUGAUAUUUAAUGUGAAUUGCAGAAUCCCAUAAAACAUUAAGUUUUUAAACAUAAAUUGCACCCGAAGCCAGAAAACACACCUAUCUGAACAUAU
This 126-nucleotide ribosomal RNA is filed under the name Vigna radiata var. radiata (mung bean). Its description in RNAcentral is "5.8S ribosomal RNA". It matches the Rfam family "5.8S ribosomal RNA", at positions 24 to 154 of the family's 154-position model. From Rfam's summary of the family: 5.8S ribosomal RNA (5.8S rRNA) is a component of the large subunit of the eukaryotic ribosome. It is transcribed by RNA polymerase I as part of the 45S precursor that also contains 18S and 28S rRNA. Functionally, it is thought that 5.8S rRNA may be involved in ribosome translocation. Lineage: Eukaryota; Viridiplantae; Streptophyta; Magnoliopsida; Fabales; Fabaceae. The record is from Rfam by way of RNAcentral.